GCAUGCUGCACGUGGAGUACUUCGUCGGCAGCCUCGUGAGGGAGCUGGAGUGGCUGCCGGCGGUGAAGGGGCAGAAGGUGGACAUGACCGAGGAGCUUGAUUUCACCACCGUGAUGAAGCAUCCGCUCCGUGCUCGCAUUGUCCCGAGGGCUUGAUCAAGUUACUAUGAGCAUGGUUAAUAGUAUAGCUAACCCAUCUUAUAACUAGCUUGUACAAUAGUUAUUUAUAAAAAAAGUGCUAAUUUUAUCAUAUAUGUCCCCCCUUCCAUUCUCACAAAGCACAAGAGCACGUGCUAGAGCUGGCUCUUCACGGAGAGCCCGUUUUCCUUCUCUCUUAUCCAACUCAACAAAAAUAUAGUAUUUUAAUCCUUACAUCCUGCUGACUGUACCUUAUUGUACUUGCUCUAUCAAUUGCGAUUCUGAUAGAUUCUGAAUGAAGAAUCACAAUCAGUAAUGCAUGGUGUCUACGUGUUCUCUGACGAUUUGUACAACGCGAGACGCUUAUAUGUCAGUCUUUUUUAAGCACCAAUGCUUAUCUUAGAUCUUAGAACGUCUACAAACCGGACCCCUUAAACCCUU
This 578-nucleotide long non-coding RNA is filed under the name Hordeum vulgare. Its description in RNAcentral is "long non-coding RNA (HVUL_LNC020292)". The record is from RNAcentral. Lineage: Eukaryota; Viridiplantae; Streptophyta; Magnoliopsida; Poales; Poaceae.